UACGAAGGGGGCUAGCGUUGUUCGGAAUUACUGGGCGUAAAGCGCACGUAGGCGGAUUGUUAAGUCGAGGGUGAAAUCCCAGGGCUCAACCCUGGAACUGCCUUCGAUACUGGCAUUCUUGAGUCCGAGAGAGGUGAGUGGAAUUCCGAGUGUAGAGGUGAAAUUCGUAGAUAUUCGGAAAGAACACCAGUGGCGAAGGCGGCUCACUGGUCUCGGAACUGACGCUGAGGUGCGAAAGCGUGGGGAGCAACAGG
Molecule: ribosomal RNA, 254 nt
Filed under: uncultured bacterium
Lineage: Bacteria
Description: partial 16S ribosomal RNA
Rfam family: Bacterial small subunit ribosomal RNA
Source: RNAcentral